AUGCAGCAAAGCUAUUGUACCGUGUGGACGUAAUUGUCUCCAAUAUUUAAAUUAGCAGAUCCACAUAUGUACGUGUAAUAGGAGAGGGUCGUUGUCGGCACCUUCUGAUAAGUGUAGUGGAUAGUAUUGUAGCAUAUCGUAUUUUCAGGAUUCUAAUAUCAGAUUUUGGUUGAACAGAAACAUAAAUAAAAUAAACUCAAAAAUUUAUUUACAAAUAUACAAUAAGGGCAACAGAUAUAUAACGCUGUUCAAAAGUCAUAAAAUCGGUUGAGGGAAAACAAUUUCGGGUUACAUACUAAAACAUUCUAUUAAAACAAUCUCAAAUAAAACAUUGUCAAAUCAAAUUAAAAAAUUAAUAUUUCCUAUCAAUUGAGUUCAAAUAGGUUAGUAAUACAAACACUUAGUGUAAAAGAAAAAACUUUCUGUGGCAUCAAUAUCUAACGUUAAUAAGUCAAUAACAAUCAAAACCAAGGAGUAAACAAAGUCUCAAAAAAUCAAAGGACAUUUACAUCAGCAGUUAUAAAUAAUGAAUAAGAAACAACACGAACUCUACUAAAAACCGGGAGUGAAAUCAGGUGCUCCGGAAGGGUAAGCAUUUCCUGCACUGUAUACGACACCCGUCGUGUUAUUUCUUUGUUCUGUUCUGUAAUGAUGGAAGGUUAUUAUGACUGAGGGAGAAUAUCAGAUAUGAUUUCUGACACACUUUUGUCAUAAUGGCUAAUCAGCUCAUGAUGGCGACCGUAAAAUUUAUUGAGUGAUGACCUUAAUUUGAUUGAUUCAUAGCCCUGUCUUAUCAACUUUUGAGAAAGCAGUAUUCCUCGUUCAAAAAAUCAACGUAUCUAGCUCUAGAGUAACGUAACAAUUGAGACACAUAUACUCCAUAUGCUGGUGCCGCUGGGAUGUUGCUAAACAGAAAUGGAAAGUUGACUAAAGGAAAAUUAAAAUCAUCGCGUUUGUCAUAAAUUUUGUUAUCACACACUACCAUCAGUAGUCAUUUCGACAAAAAGGUCUAAAAAUGAAGCAGAUUUAUCUUUAAAUAAUAUAAUGAUACAUGUUUAUUUUACCAUCACUGUUGUAUUGCAUAAUUGAAACGUUUCGCAUUUAGAUUUGAAAAAUACCUAUAUGGUCCAAAUACUAAAAUGGUCUGGAACAUUUAAACUAAUGUGACAAACUUUCGACGUGACUGCGAACACUUUCAAUACUAAUACAUUCAAAUGCAAAACUCUAUAUAGUAUUAUAAAAUCCUACCCGUAGACACCGUGAAAACGUUUAUAAUGCCUCACGGACCUAACAUUAAACAGUAAGUACAGCUGUAGGUAGCACUAGUUCCCAUCUACACACAGAUAUUUUAGUCUUACCCACAAUGCUUUAUUUUGUUGGCAAUAUAUUUUUACAUGUGUAUAUAUAUAUAUAUAUUAGUUGAAUAGUCAAAACAUGAUCUUAACUGUAUUACUCUUGAUAACAUCCUCAGACACACAAAACAAAACUGACUUGUA
Molecule: long non-coding RNA, 1496 nt
Filed under: Mytilus galloprovincialis (Mediterranean mussel)
Lineage: Eukaryota; Metazoa; Mollusca; Bivalvia; Mytilida; Mytilidae
Source: RNAcentral